GGUGAGUAACACGUGGAUAACCUACCUAUAAGACUGGGAUAACUUCGGGAAACCGGAGCUAAUACCGGAUAAUAUUUUGAACCGCAUGAUUCAAAAGUUAAAGACGGUCUUGCUGUCACUUAUAGAUGGAUCCGCGCUGCAUUAGCUAGUUGGUAAGGUAACGGCUUACCAGGGCAACGAUGCAUAGCCGACCUGAGAGGGUGAUCGGCCACACUGGAACUGAGACACGGUCCAG
RNAcentral lists this ribosomal RNA (235 nucleotides) under uncultured Staphylococcus sp. RNAcentral's name for it is "partial 16S ribosomal RNA". It matches the Rfam family "Bacterial small subunit ribosomal RNA", at positions 105 to 334 of the family's 1533-position model. Lineage: Bacteria; Bacillati; Bacillota; Bacilli; Caryophanales; Staphylococcaceae. The record is from RNAcentral.